Molecule: long non-coding RNA, 1179 nt
Filed under: Homo sapiens (human)
Lineage: Eukaryota; Metazoa; Chordata; Mammalia; Primates; Hominidae
Description: HSALNT0357574
Source: RNAcentral
UGAAAGUCAACAUCAGUAUUUCCUGUCCUGGGGACAAACCAGUGCCUCAUGUUUCUGGAAACGCUGCAGCAUUUAACUUCAAUUUUAAUCUGGAUAACGCCAAAGCUUUUCCUCAAAUUCACCCCUGGAGUCAGCUCAUAGAUGCUCUGAUUUUGUCUACCAUUGCUCCUCCUUAAUAUCUCUCGCACAGGUGCCAUUGACCUUUAGAUGGGCUGUACGGUGUGGGGUUCGGUGCCAUGGAUCUGCUUCUCCAGGGACCAGGAUCUUGAGAUCUUCAGGCUGGGUUUCCAUGGAGGCAUGGAGCUGCUUUUCCUCCUUCAUAACUGCACUCAAAACAGCCCUGUUGCUCUAGAAUGGAGACUUGGGCAACUCCUUCUGGCACAGAUUUGUUCACCUCAGGUGAAAUUCAGAUAGAAGCAAGCUGCAGGCAGUUUCACCUCUAAGUCCAUGGGUUCUCAACUGGUAACGUCCUCUUAUGGAUGUUAGCCCAUGAGGUCAAUCCUGUAGCAAUCUAAGGCUUGAGAAAAAUUAAUCUUCUGGAAAAUUCCAAGAAUACAUCUUAGGGAAACUGGCUCUACCUUUAUGACUUGGAUCACACAAGGAUAUGCUUUUCAUCUUGGACUAGAACUGAGAGCCAAUGGAUGUGUUAUCUAAAACUAUCCCAGUGUGUUCACUAUACAGAGGAAGAUUCUGAGAUUCAAGACUCAAGACUGAAGAAGAUCAUUAUUUUUAUUAUUUUAGUCUUAUGCACAAAAUGAUAUCUACUGAAUAAGCAGGUUUUUAAUAGGUGACUUAUAUAUGUUAGCAAAAAUAAACACUUUGUCUUUUAGAUCUAUUCUAGUUUUUCAGUAGCUGUAGACUUAAGUGCUAACUUUUAGCCCAUAGGAUAAGAAGAAACCAAGUCCUAAAAGUAGGCCAGCACCAGGGUUCAGGCCUCUGACUUCAAGCCAAGGGCUCAUCAUCUUGAAUUGCGCACGAAUUUUUACACAGCGCCAAAGGAAACUGCCUGUACUUACUGUUGUAGGUGCUUUGCUGGAUUCAGGAUGCAGACAAGGUCCACGCAUUGUGGUUGGCUUUAUUGAAGUAUCAGAGAAUCAUUUUCUUAAGAGAUGGUAAUGGAAUCCAUGCAUUUGAAAUAAAUCAACAGAAAAAAAUGAUUCAGAAGAGAGGGAACUAGCC